Epinephelus moara (kelp grouper) is the source of this 1564-nucleotide long non-coding RNA. RefSeq lists it as uncharacterized. The record is from RefSeq and is a predicted model, not a curated record. The transcript is spliced from 9 exons. Lineage: Eukaryota; Metazoa; Chordata; Actinopteri; Perciformes; Serranidae.
CUUAACGAUGAGGUGAAGCACAUAGUCAAGACCAGACACAUGGAAACACAGGGAGACUUCACUGUGCAGUUAAUGGACUUAAAAGAGAUCACACUGAUGCUGUUAAUCCUUCAAGCCCCCAAACAUUUCCAUGGCUUUGGUCUUGCUCAUCGGUCUGAUGUCAAUACUUUUGACAUCCACCUGCGGACUGAAUUUAACCAGCCCCUCUUCUGAAUACCAAGCAGUGCUAGGACACAACAUCAGCCUCGGAUGCCAUUUCACCCUUGCUUCUAUGGAUGUUGUUGACUUGGAGGUUGAGUGGACAGUCAACCGUUCAGAUGGUCAAGAGGAAGAGGAACACCUGAACACUGAGGACAUAAUACACCACUUUAUUGGUUUUGAAGGCCGAGUCCACUUUUCCUCUCCACAUCCCCAAGAUGGAGACGCUUCACUAACCAUUAAACGUGUUAAGAUCGUGGACAAAGGUACUCAGUAAUGUACAGUAAAAAAGCUUCGAGAAGUCCAAAACAGGCAGAUUAAGCUGAUGGUAAUGGAGGAGGGGGCUGUGCCAGUUUAUGAUUCUGAUGUUGGCACUGAGUCCGAUGUGGACUUAAAGCUGAGGAACAGGUCUUCACCAGUCACCACCUUCCCUGCAAACUACAGUUUGUUGACAUCCACCGAAACUUCUGCAAGCACUCAAGAUGACUUGUCUUCACAAGACAAUGCAAAAACCACCACAGGAGCUAUCACAGGAACCACCGCUGUAAUCACCACAGGAUCAAUCGCAGUGGCUGCUCCCAUUACUUUCAUUAUCAUUUCGGCAGGCAUAAUUUUCCGCUGCUGGAAACAAAAGAGACAGCAGAAGUCUGAUGAAGAAAAUGUCCCAGCUGAUGAAGCGAGGCGUGGUCAUACACAGUCAGAAAUGGGCAUGAUUGUAGACAAUAUAGAGAACACCUGUGGGAGAAGAUGGAACUUGAAGACAUAACCAAAACCCUUAUGGACAUUAAGGGGGAAGAUUCUACAGAAGAGGUACCUGAAACACAGAAUGUGGAUUAUGAGGUUUGUUGAAGGUUCCUUUGAGAAGGAUCCGGGACGUCUGGAGAACCCGAAGGAGACGGUGGGUCAGGUGGAGAUCAAGGCUCUGUCUCAGCUGUACAGAGACCUGGACUUCACCAUAGACAUCGACUUCAAAGCAGGGGACAAUAAGGGGAAAAAGAAGGAAGAGGAAGACGAAGAGUGGUGAUUUCUGAUGAAAUCCGGGCUACUGUCAUAGACCAUGUCCUUGUGCAUGGAAUGACAAUGAGGGAGGCCAAAGAGUGCAACCAAAAAUCAGUAGAUUCUCUGUGUCCACCAUAAUCUGGAGAUUUAGACAAGGAAACAGACCCCCUAUAUACUGCAUCCACGUUCAUCUUCCACUUCCAAAUCCAAACUUCCACGUCGUGGUGUGCUGCUGCUGCUGAUCUGGAGUGUGGAAACCCGCUAGCGAGGCUGCGCAUAUGCUACGGGCCUUAGCAAUAUCAUCUCCACUUGAUACGAACACCUUUACCUGAUACUAACACCUUUUUAAGCACACACGUGAGAUCAA